AAAAGUUUUAUUCUUGCUUAUUUAUUCACUUUUUCUUUGUAUUAUAUGUAAGUUUUGUUAAACUAAAUGUUCUAUUUUGCAGUAAUUUGAUUUAAUUAUCAAUUGAUUUUGGAUUUAGCAAUUGAUUUAGUAUCGGCAUAAUUCGUGCCAGCAGCCGCGGUUAUACGAUUGAUACAAGUGAAUAUUAUUGGUUAAAACAGUUGUUUAUAUUUUUAGGGUUAAAAUAUAAAUUUGUAAGGUGAAAUGUUAAAAUUUAUUUAUAGCUCUUUUUAUGAAUCUGUGAAAUUUGAAUAAUAAACUAGGAUUAGAUACCCUAUUAUUUUAAAUGUUAAUUAUAUUUACCAGGGUACUAUUAGUUAAGGUCUUUAAACCCAAAGAAUUUGGCGGUAUCUCAUUCCAUUCAGAGGAACUUACCCCGUGAUUGAUAAUACACGAUUAACUCUACUUGAUUUAUUUGUUUGUAUAUCUCCGUUAUCAGAGAAUCUUUUUAGAGUUAUAAUUCUCAAGAUUUAUAAUUAUAAAGUAUUUCAGGUCAAGGUGCAGCUUAUAAUUAAGAGGAGGUGAGUUACAAUAGAUUUUUGUUUAUAACGGAUUUGAUAGUGAAAUGCUGUUAAUGAAGGUGGAUUUGAUAGUAAUUUAAUUUAUUUAAUUUAACUGAUAUUGGCUCUGAGGUGUGUACACAUCGCCCGUCACUCUCAUUAUUGAUUAUUCUAUUUUAUUUUUUUUUAAUUUAGCUUCAAUUUAGAUGAGAUAAGUCGUAACAUAGUAGAUGUACUGGAAAGUGUAUCUAGUAAGAGUUU
Molecule: non-coding RNA, 800 nt
Filed under: Schistocerca nitens (vagrant locust)
Lineage: Eukaryota; Metazoa; Arthropoda; Insecta; Orthoptera; Acrididae
Description: 12S ribosomal RNA
Rfam family: Microsporidia small subunit ribosomal RNA (bases 345-790)
Source: RNAcentral